RNAcentral lists this ribosomal RNA (585 nucleotides) under uncultured bacterium. Its description in RNAcentral is "partial 16S ribosomal RNA". It matches the Rfam family "Bacterial small subunit ribosomal RNA", at positions 355 to 1375 of the family's 1533-position model. The record is from RNAcentral.
UGGGGAAUUUUGGACAAUGGGCGAAAGCCUGAUCCAGCAAUGCCGCGUGUGUGAAGAAGGCCCUCGGGUUGUAAAGCACUUUUGUCCGGAAAGAAAUCCUUGGCUCUAAUACAGUCGGGGGAUGACGGUACCGGAAGAAUAAGCACCGGCUAACUACGUGCCAGCAGCCGCGGUAAUACGUAGGGUGCAAGCGUUAAUCGGAAUUACUGGGCGUAAAGCGUGCGCAGGCGGUUUGCUAAGACCGAUGUGAAAUCCCCGGGCUCAACCUGGGAACUGCAUUGGUGACUGGCAGGCUAGAGUAUGGCAGAGGGGGGUAGAAUUCCACGUGUAGCAGUGAAAUGCGUAGAGAUGUGGAGGAAUACCGAUGGCGAAGGCAGCCCCCUGGGCCAAUACUGACGCUCAUGCACGAAAGCGUGGGGAGCAAACAGGAUUAGAUACCCUGGUAGUCCACGCCCUAAACGAUGUCAACUAGUUGUUGGGGAUUCAUUUCCUUAGUAACGUAGCUAACGCGUGAAGUUGACCGCCUGGGGAGUACGGUCGCAAGAUUAAAACUCAAAGGAAUUGACGGGGUCAUAGCUGUUUCCU